CCUACGGGAGGCAGCAGUGGGGAAUAUUGGGCAAUGGAGGAAACUCUGACCCAGCGACGCCGCGUGCGGGAUGAAGGCCUUCGGGUUGUAAACCGCUUUCAGUAGGGAAGAAGCGAAAGUGACGGUACCUACAAAAGAAGCACCGGCUAACUAUGUGCCAGCAGCCGCGGUAAUACAUAGGGUGCAAGCGUUGUCCGGAAUUAUUGGGCGUAAAGAGCUCGUAGGUCGUUUGUUACGUCGGAUGUGAAAACCUGAGGCUCAACCUCAGGCCUGCAUUCGAUACGGGCAAACUAGAGUUUGGUAGGGGAGACUGGAAUUCCUGGUGUAGCGGUGGAAUGCGCAGAUAUCAGGAGGAACACCAAUGGCGAAGGCAGGUCUCUGGGCCAAUACUGACACUGAGGAGCGAAAGUCUGGGGAGCGAACAGGAUUAGAUACCCUGGUAGUCCAGACCGUAAACGGUGGGCACUAGUUGUGGGAACCUUCCACGGUUUCUGCGACGCAGCUAACGCAUUAAGUGCCCCGCCUGGGGAGUACGAUCGCAAGAUUAAAACUCAAAGAUAUGCGNGNGAGAGCGACGAGACGACGAGAGGAG
RNAcentral lists this ribosomal RNA (592 nucleotides) under uncultured bacterium. Its description in RNAcentral is "bacterial SSU rRNA". It matches the Rfam family "Bacterial small subunit ribosomal RNA", at positions 338 to 941 of the family's 1533-position model. The record is from RNAcentral.